This 321-nucleotide ribosomal RNA is filed under the name uncultured bacterium. RNAcentral describes it as "bacterial SSU rRNA". It matches the Rfam family "Bacterial small subunit ribosomal RNA", at positions 28 to 334 of the family's 1533-position model. The record is from RNAcentral.
GACGAACGCUGGCGGCGUGCCUAAUACAUGCAAGUCGAGCGGGGUCAUUUUGAAAGCUUGCUUUCAAAAUGACUUAGCGGCGGACGGGUGAGUAACACGUAGGCAACCUGCCCUUCAGACUGGGAUAACUACCGGAAACGGUAGCUAAUACCGGAUAAUUUCUUUUUCUCCUGAGAGAAGAAUGAAAGACGGAGCAAUCUGUCACUGAGGGAUGGGCCUGCGGCGCAUUAGCUAGUUGGUGGGGUAAAGGCCCACCAAGGCGACGAUGCGUAGCCGACCUGAGAGGGUGAACGGCCACACUGGGACUGAGACACGGCCCAG